This 440-nucleotide ribosomal RNA is filed under the name uncultured bacterium. RNAcentral describes it as "partial 16S ribosomal RNA". It matches the Rfam family "Bacterial small subunit ribosomal RNA", at positions 338 to 795 of the family's 1533-position model. The record is from RNAcentral.
CCUACGGGAGGCAGCAGUAGGGAAUAUUGCUCAAUGGGGGAAACCCUGAAGCAGCAACGCCGCGUGGAGGAAGAAGGUUUUCGGAUUGUAAACCCCUUUUGUUAGAGAAGAUAAUGACGGUAUCUGACGAAUAAGCACCGGCUAACUCCGUGCCAGCAGCCGCGGUAAUACGGAGGGUGCAAGCGUUACCCGGAUUCACUGGGUGUAAAGGGCGCGUAGGCGGGAUAGCAAGUCAGAUGUGAAAUCCUAUGGCUUAACCAUAGAACUGCAUUUGAAACUGUUAGUCUAGAGUAUGGGAGAGGUAGGUGGAAUUCUUGGUGUAGGGGUAAAAUGCGUAGAGAUCAAGAGGAAUACUCAUGGCGAAGGCGACCUACUAGAACAUAACUGACGCUGAGGCUCGAAAGCGUGGGGAGCAAACAGGAUUAGAUACCCGUGUAGUC